RNAcentral lists this transfer RNA (72 nucleotides) under Lachnospiraceae bacterium KHCPX20. It matches the Rfam family "tRNA". From Rfam's summary of the family: Transfer RNA (tRNA) molecules are approximately 80 nucleotides in length. Their secondary structure includes four short double-helical elements and three loops (D, anti-codon, and T loops). The record is from Rfam by way of RNAcentral. Lineage: Bacteria; Bacillati; Bacillota; Clostridia; Lachnospirales; Lachnospiraceae.
UGGGGUAUCGCCAAGCGGUAAGGCAGGGGACUUUGACUCCCUAAUUCCUCGGUUCAAAUCCGAGUACCCCAG